This 102-nucleotide ribosomal RNA is filed under the name Shigella boydii 965-58. The record is from RNAcentral. Lineage: Bacteria; Pseudomonadati; Pseudomonadota; Gammaproteobacteria; Enterobacterales; Enterobacteriaceae.
GCGGUGGUCCCACCUGACCCCAUGCCGAACUCAGAAGUGAAACGCCGUAGCGCCGAUGGUAGUAUGGGGUCUCCCCAUGCGAGAGUAGGGAACUGCCAGGCA